GGCGGCGGCGGCGGCGCCUGAAAAAGCGGACCGCAAGAGGUGCCGAGACUGUGAACAAAGAAGAUAUCUGAAAAUGACAAGUAAAAGUCUUGAGGAAUCCAUGGGGGCUGUGCAGAGGGGGCUGGCCAAAGUGAUCACAGGAUUGCAGAGCAAAGUCUUGCCACCCAUGAGCCCAAAGGUGGUCACAGAGGAAGAAGUGAACCGGAUGCUGACACCCUCAGAGUUCCUGAAGGAGAUGUCCCUCACCACGGAGCAGAAGUUGGCAAGCACACGAAUUAUAUGUCGGCCACAGAUCACUGAACUCUUAGACAUGGGAGAAACAACACAUCAAAAGUAUUCUGGAGUUGACUUGGACCAGGCCCUAUUUCAGCCCUUUCCAUCAGAAAUCAUAUUCCAGAACUAUUCUCCCUGUGAAGUCUAUGAGGUUCCAUUGGUUUUAAGAAACAACGACAAAAUCCCAAGGAUGGUAAAAGUUGUUGAAGAAAGCUCACCUUACUUUAAAGUCAUCAGCCCCAAAGACAUCGGUCACAAGGUGGCCCCAGGGGUGCCGUCUAUAUUCCGGAUCCUUUUCACUCCAGAGGAGAACAAGGAUUAUGCCCACAUGUUGACCUGUAUUACUGAAAGAGAAAAGUUUGUUGUGCCCGUCAAAGCCAGAGGGGCUCGAGCCAUCCUGGACUUCCCUGACGAGCUGAAUUUUUCCACUUGCCCUGUGAAAUACAGCACCCAGAAGGUUCUGCUGGUCCGAAACAUUGGCAACAAAGACUCCGUGUUCCACCUCAAAGCUCGCAGGCCUUUUUCCAUAGAACCAACGGCCGGGAUUCUUAACGUGGGGGAGUCCAUGCAGCUGGAAGUGGACUUCGAGCCCCAGACCGUAGGCAACCAUAACGGGAAGCUCAUCGUGACGUACGACACUGGUGAGAUGGUGUUUGUGCGUCUCUAUGGAGCUGCCAUAGAUGUGAAUAUAAGACUGGACAAGAAUUCCUUGAUCAUGGAGAAAACGUACAUAUCUCUGGCCAAUCAGCGGACGAUAACCAUUCAUAACCGCUCUAAUAUCAUUGCCCAUUUCCAGUGGAAGAUAUUUGCUACACAGGAAGAGGAAGACAAAGAAAAAUAUAGGGUCUGUGACGAUCUGACGAAGGAGGAAAAGCAGGAAACCGACAUGUUUCUGGAAGAGUGCCUUUUGGAUCCUUCGCUCCGAGAACGCCUCUCUAUUCUCUCCCGCACCUUCGAGAACCAGAGGAAGCUGGUGCGAGGAGACAGCAUGCUGUUUCUGGAUAACAUUUUCACCAUCGAGCCCCUGGAAGGCGAUGUCUGGCCCAACUCAUCAGCUGAUAUCACUGUGUACUUUAACCCCCUAGAGGCCAGGCUCUACCAGCAGACGAUUUACUGUGACAUUUCAGGUCGAGAGAUCCGCUUGCCCCUCCGAAUCAGAGGAGAAGGGAUGGGGCCCAAGAUUCACUUCAACUUCGAAUUGCUGGACAUUGGCAAAGUUUUCAUUGGAUCUGCCCACUGUUACGAGGCGAUCCUAUCCAACAAAGGCAGCAUCGAUGCCCUCUUCAAUGUGAUCCCUCCAACUUCAGCCCUGGGGGCCUGCUUUGUUUUCAAUCCUAAAGAAGGCAUCAUUGAACCGAGUGGGGUCCAAGCUGUCCAGAUCUCCUUCAGUUCUACCAUCCUGGGGCACUUCGAGGAAGAGUUCCUGAUCGAUGUUAACGGGUCCCCGGAGCCCGUGAAGCUGACCAUUAGAGGAUGUGUCAUUGGACCUACGUUCCAUUUUAAUGUCCCUGCUCUGCACUUUGGUGAUGUUUCCUAUGGAUUUCCCCAUACUUUGAUGUGUUCCCUCAAUAACACAUCUUUGGUCCCCAUGACCUUCAAAUUGCGUGUCCGUGGGGAUGGCGAUGGCCUGCAAAGCAUCCCAAGUUACUCUCAGGAGUCAGACAGCAAGAGACGGUCUUGGGUUAAUACCGAACUAUCCACAACGAAGCCCAGAGAGUUCACCAUCACUCCCAGCAGCGGCACCAUACGUGCCCAGGGGUUUGCUGCCAUCAAGGUGACUUUGUGCUCCAACACUGUGCAAAACUAUGAGCUGGCGCUGGUGGUAGAUGUGGAGGGCAUUGGAGAAGAAGUGCUGGCGCUCUUGAUUACAGCCAGGUGUGUUGUGCCCACCCUCCAGUUGGUGACCACAGAGGUGAACUUUGGACGCUGCUUCCUGAAGUACCCAUAUGAGAAGACCAUCCAGCUUGUCAAUCAUGAUGUCCUUCCCGGAUGCUAUAAGGUCCUGCCCCAGCUGUAUGAGAAUCCGCCCGCUGUCCUGCUCUCCAGCCCCUCCCCCUGCGGGGUCAUCCCCCCACACAGCACCGUGCACAUACCACUAUCCUUGGAGACCCAGGUCACUGGUGAACACAGAUCCACAGUUUACAUCUCCGUCUUCGGGAGCCAAGACACCCCUCUGGCAUGUCAUAUACAGAGCAUCGGAGAAGGCCCGGUUAUCUUCAUACAUCCCACUCAGGUUGAUUUUGGCAACAUCUAUGUCCUGAAGGACACUUCAAGAAUUCUCCAGCUGUCUAACCAGUCCUUCAUCCCUGCAUACUUUCAGGCUCGCAUGGCAAACAAAAAAUCCCUUUGGACAGUUAAACCCAGUAAGGGCAUGGUUCCUGCAGAAGAUGAUGUCCCGUUGACCCUGACUGCCAACCUGGAUGACAUCGUGACAUUCAAAGACACAGUCAUUCUGGAGGUUGAGCACAGCAACACCUACCGGAUCCCUAUCCAGGCUACAGGGAUUGGCUCUACCAUUGUGUCAGACAAGCCCUUUGCUCCAGAGCUCAACCUGGGAGCACAUUUCAGCCUGGAUAUCCACUAUUACCGCUUCAAGCUGACGAAUAAAGGACGGCGCGUCCAGCAGCUGUUCUGGAUGAAUGAUGACUUCCGCCCUGAGGAAAAGCCAAGUAAGAAGGAACCAAUGAAGAAGGGACCUAGUCGUAGCCGUCGCCAGUCCCAGAUCUCCCAGGAACCCGCAGAUACAGGGAGCCCCGUGUUUCAACUUUACCCUGUCAGGAUGGAGUUGUACCCAGGCCAGACGAUUGACGUGGUACUUGAAGGCUAUUCUGCCAUUCCCAGGAAAGUCAAAGAAAAGCUGGUAUGCCACGCCAUUGUCGGAGCCCAGAAGGGAAAAAGCUUGUUGAUGUCCGUGAACAUCAUCUGUGAAUUCAUAGCACCUCUCAUCCAGCUCUCCACCAGGCAGCUCAUAUAUCGACUGGAAAAGAAGCCUAAUACCAUCCUGGAAGCUGAUUACCAGCCCUUGACUAUAAAGAACGUCACCACCCUGCCUGUGAACGUGCUGCUCUCAACAACUGGACCCUUCUUCAUAUGUGAGACUGAUAAGUCCCUGCUGCCCGCAACUCCUAAGCCUAUAAAACUGGAGGUCAAUGAAGAGAAAAACCUGCUGGUCAAGUUUGACCCCUCCUACAGAAAUGACCUGAACAACUGGGUGGCAGAGGAAGUCCUAUCCGUUAAGUAUGUGGAGCACCCUCAGGUGGACAACGUGAACUUGCGUGGAGAAGUGCAUUACCCCAACCUCAGCUUCGAGAUGAUGGAGGUGGACUUCGGCUGCAUCCUGAAUGAUACCGAGGUCAUUCGCUACAUCACCAUCACCAACUGUAGCCCCUUGGUGGUGAAAUUCCGUUGGUUCUUCCUGGUGGACGAUGAUGAAAACCAGAUAAGGUUUGCACCCUGCAUCAAGCCGUACAGUGCUUUCACGUCCCAGAUGGAGUCCAUCCCAGCAACCUCAGUUACCGCCAGCUCGCCAGCAGCCCCACCGAUGGUAGAGUCUACUGAGGUGGACUUUAGCGAUUCUAUCAAGACUAUCCUUAUUGAUGAUGAAGCUGGACCUGAAGAAAUCAAAAAGCGCGCAGCCUCCACCGUGAUCUCAGAAGCAAUAAAAUACAGCUCUGCAGAAACAGAAAGAAGCCAGAGCCAGGCGGACUACCCAGAAUCCCUGUGGAUCUUUGAGCAGGAGGAGAUGCUUUCCAUCGGGAUAGAAGAAGUAUUUGACAUUUUGCCCCUCUACGGAGUUCUGCGGCCAUACAGCAGCCAUCAGAUAUCAUUUACCUUCUAUGGGCACUGUGACAUCAUUGCAAAGGCCAAAGCUCUGUGUGAAGUGGAAGGAGGGCCCACCUAUGAAAUAGUCCUGAAGGGAGAGGCCUCCCUGGUCAGCUACUCCUUUGACACCAAGGACAUUAACUAUGGACUACAGCUGUUUGACCAUGUCACGGAGCGCGAAAUCACACUGAAAAAUACUGGGAAAGUUGGCUUUGAGUUCAAGGUUCUGACUAACUACCCGUCUUCGCCAAAGAAUCUUCUCCCUGGAGUACCUCUUAUCCUGCCUCUGUCGGGUUUUAUCCGCUCAAAUAAGGAGCAGGUGCUGAAAGUUUACUACUUGCCUGGAAUACCUGAGGUCUUCCAAAGAAGCUUCCAGAUACAGAUCGCCCACCUGGACCCAGAAAAUAUCACUCUGUACGGAGAGGGCAUCUUUCCCCGGAUCAGCCUUGAUCUGCACAGGAACCUCCGAGGUAAUGAAAAGUAUGAACGCUUCCUGGAACAAGCGAAGAAGAACAUGGAGAAAGAGUAUAAUAAAUAUGAGUCUGUCAAUCAAUAUGAGAUGAUCUCUGAGGACAACACUGAGGAGGAGAAUACAGAGGUAAGUGCUCAUCUGCAGAUGGAGGUAGAGCGACUUAUAGUCCAAGACUAUGCCCUGGAACACCAAAAGGCAAUCUCCUCCAGUACCACAGACACCUACUUCAGCAAUCGGAGUCGCCGCAAAAUAGCCAAAGUCCAGCUGCCUGAGUACAUCCUGGACUUCGGCUCCAUUGUGCUUGGAGACGUCCGAACCCACAUCAUCAAGAUCACCAACACCAGUCACUUUCCAGUGUCUUUCCAUGCAGAAAAGCAUGUCCUUCACGAUACAGGCUUCAGCACUGAGCUAGACCGUGUAAAGAAUCUGCCCUACUGCGAGACAGAAACAUUUGAAGUGAGAUGCGACCCACAAGGGGCUAAUAUUCCUGUGGGGAACAAAGAAGUCAUUCUCCCCAUCAAGGUGUCUGGAGGGCCAACCAUUCACCUCUGCCUCCAAGCCACUGUGACCAUUCCAAGUAUGAGCCUGUCCUGCAACAAAGUAGAAUUUUCUACAAUCCAGUGUGGACAGUGCAUGGUGGAAACCAUUCAGCUUUCCAACACUCUUCAAGUUCCUUGUGAUUGGUUUGUCCACACCCCGCAGCCUACUAACAAGCUGGAUAAGCACAUGCCAAAGUAUUUGAGACGGAAACUACAGGCGGAGAUGAUUCCAAAGACUCGGAUCUUUGAGAUCCAACCCACUUCUGGAGUCUUGGACCCUGGCGAGAGGGCCAAUGUGCAAGUGAAAUUCAUGCCCAAAGAAGAGAAGUUCUACAGCCAGUCGCUGCUGUUCCACAUUGGCCAGAGCAAUCAGAGGCUCGUGCUCCUGGCUCAGGGGCAAGGUCUGGAGCCACGGCUGGAAUUCAGCCCUUCGGUUCUGGAGCUGGGGCCCCUCCUGCCGUUCGCAUCAGGGGAUGAGGCCGAGGUGAUUGUGAGGAACCCCUGCAACUUCCCCAUUGAGUUUUACUCCCUAGAAUUUGACCAGCAGUAUCUCUUAGAGGAGAAGAUCUUGCGACAGCUGAAGGGCUAUGAUUCCUACAACACCCUGCUGCUGCCUCCCCGGAACCCAGGGGAAAAGCUGCCCCAGGAGGUCUACGAUUACUUUAGGGAGAUGAAGAAAUCAAAAGAGGAGCAGAUGAAGGCGAAAUACAUGGAGAAUAUGUCACAGGAGAAUGAAGAAGAAGAGAUGCCAUCAGACCAGGGAACCACCACCAGCACCAAGAGGACAUCACUUAGCCGAGCAGUCUCUGUCACAUCCAACAUAGAAGAGCGGCAUCUUAUGACUGAGUCCAAGAGCUACCCAGAUGAGGACGAGGAUGAAGAAAGCCUGGAAAAACUAACGUUCCAAACUGACAAGAUCCAGAGCACAGACAGCCACUCUGCAGAGGAGGUUGGAGAGGUGGAAAGCAACCCCGUGAGCAAGGCAAUCGCACGCCACCUAGGCAUCGACAUUUCUGCAGAAGGCCGCCUGGCCAAGAACCGGAAGGGCAUCGCCAUUAUCAUCCAUGGGACACCCUUGUCAGGAAAGACAGCCAACGCCAUCAGCAUGGCCAAGUACUACAACGCAGCCUGCCUAAACAUCGACUCCAUUGUCCUAGAGGCCAUAUCAGACAGUAACAACAUCUCAGGGAUUCGGGCCCGGGAGCUAUGCAUCAGAGCUGCCAUAGAGCAGUCCAUGAGGGAAGCAGAGGAGUCGGCCCAGGAGUCUUCAAUGACACAAAAUGUUGGGGUACCAGCACGACUCAGCACUGAGAACCUGGGCAAGUUUACUUCAGAACUCACUCUAGUGACCCAGGAAUUUAAACCUGCAAAGAGUGUGCGUGGGAGUGUGAUGGUCCCCAAAGGCAAGGCGGAUAGCCACUUGUCUGGGUCUCAGAAGCAGCAUCAUCAGCAUCCAGUGGAAACACUACAGGUUCCCUCCAGCCCUCUCCUCAUAGGGCCCACCCAGCGGCGGCUCAGUGUCAGCGCCAGCGUUGGAGGUGAGACCGGGCUGAUGAGCUGUGUGCUCCCAGAUGAACUUCUCGUUCAGAUCCUAGCUGAGCGGAUACAGCUGAGUGACUGCUUCAGAGGCGUGGUGUUCGAUAGCCUGGAAACGCUCUUUGCUCGGAGUGCACCCUCUGCCCUCCUCUGCCUGCUAAAGGCCAUCGGCAGCCGGGAGCACAUAUAUGUCCUCAACAUGGCUCAGGACUAUGUGGUCAUGAAAGCCCAGGAGAAGGCCAAAAAGGAGCUAGAAGAGCGCAAACACAAGGAAGCUAUUGCGAGGGAGAAGGAGCGUCUCCAAACCCUAGAUGAGGAAGAAUAUGAUGCCCUGACACCAGAAGAGAAAAUUGCAUUUGACCGUGAGGUUCGGCAGGCUCUUCGGGAGAGAAAGAAGAGGGAGCUGGAAAGGCUGGCCAGGGAGAUGCAGGAGAAGAAGCUGCAGCAGGAGCUGGAGCGGCAGAAGGAAGAGGAUGAGCUAAAACGAAGGAUCAAAAAGCCUAAGCCAGGCCCUGCGAAGGAGGAGCCACCCCUCAAGAAAUCACAAGUCCCCCCAAUCAAGCAGGUUCCCACCACUACUGCCAAGUUAGAAAUAAAGAUGGAAACGAUAGAAAGGAAAAUUUCUGUCAGAGACCAGCCAACAAAUGAAGACCCCUCUAAGAGAAAGAAACCCACAACCGACAACGCAUUUGGAUUUCCUAUUGCCCAGGAUCAAGAGGACAGUGAAGGAGACUUCCCAAAAGAUGCUGACAAGACACUGGCCCAAAGGUUUAAAGUCUACGACUUCUGUCUGAAGGAUGUUCAAAACAUCCUCACAUACUGGGACCGCAAGCAAGGGGUCCAGAUGCCUCACGCAGGCAUGGAAGAUAUGCCCCAUGAACCUGACGAUCAGCGCCAGGCUCCUUCAGGUGGCGGCGGGCGCAGGGGCCGCAAGGAUCGGGAGAGGGAGCGCUUGGAGAAGGAGAGGGCAGAGAAGGAGCGCCUGGAGAGGGAGAAGGCUGAGAGAGAGCGACUGGAGAAGCUGCGGGCAAUGGAGGAGCGGAGCGAUGAGGGGGAAGGGGAAGAGGAAAACGAGGGGAAGAAGGAUCUGGGGGUGCCCUUUAUCAACAUCCACACUCCAGACUUUGAAGGCAUAAGUUGGAAGCAUGCCCUGGAGAGUGAGAAGCUUCCCAAAGGAGAUCAGGUCCUGGACCUCCUAGGCCUGGGGUCCUCCGGACCACCCAUUCCAGCUCCUGCCUUGUUCUCCAUCAUCUCUUACCCAGUGAAGCGGCAGUCUUCGGUUGCCACUGAGAUCCUGAAGCACUUUGUGUUUGUGGUUCCACCAAAUGAUGACCUCACCCUGCUGGACGAGAAAAAAGAAUUAGAAGGAGACUCUGAUCUCUUCCUCAACACCACGGUAUCCAAGGCCCAAGAUGAACCGACCUCUCUAUCUAAGGGGAGCAAGCAGAAAACGAAAGAAAAAUCAGAACAAGCUCGUGAAACUCAGAAGGAAAAACGUCGGAUGAACAGCAGAAAAGGCCUCUCCGGGGGACCGCCAGGGACUAACACACCAAUGUCUGACAUAGACCAGAACAGCUUCGAUGGGGAGCACUCCCAGGAAAAGUUCGUCAAGCUGAAUCACUUCCGGUGGAUUGUGCCCCCCAAUGGAGAGGUGACCUUGAAGGUGCAUUUCUCCUCUGUUGAUCUUGGCAACUAUGACCAAACGUUUAAUUUCGAGCUUCUUGGGACCCGCCGCCAGUACCAGCUCUACUGCCGUGGAGUCUGUACCUACCCGGACAUUUGCAAAGAUCCAAAGGUUGUGUUCCCUCAGAGGAAGAAAGACAUGAAGUUAAAUGAAGUCAUCUUUAAGAAGUAUAUAAUGAGUAUGGAGAAAUUUUACUUUGGGCCACUGCUUUGUGGAAAGUCAAGAGACAAGUAUAAGUCAUCCUUGUUCCCCGGCAACAUGGAGUCCCUGACGAUCCUGAACAAUUCUCCAAUGGUGGUGGAGGCAUACUUCUGCUUUCAGAAUGAUGUGAAAGCGAGCACCUACUUUCUAGAGCCCGUCAACAUGACUCUGAAACCCAAUGAAAAGCAGAUAUUAAAUGUGUGGGCCUACCCUACGGCAAUUGGCAUCUUCGAAGACAGCAUUGUCUGCUGCAUCAAGGAGAACCCAGAGCCAGCCAUCUUUAAGUUAAACUGCCAAGGAAUUCGCCCAGAAAUUGAGGUGGAGCCCAGGCAAUUACAUUUUGAACGGCUUUUGCUUCACAGAAAAGAAUCCAGGACAGUAGUUCUCCGCAAUGUCACACCCCUAUCUGUGGCCUGGCGGAUCUCCAGCCUGGAGCACCUUGGCGACGAUUUCACUGUGUCUGUGCUGCAGGCCAGCAUCCCACCCAAGGGAGAGUUUGGGCUGCAGGUGCACUUCCAGCCCACCAAACCUGUCAACAUUAAGAAGGCCAUUCGGGUUGAGGUUUUGGAUGCAGACAAUCUUGUCGGUGUUGUUCAGAUCGAAAACAUCUUGGUCUUUGCAGAAUCCUAUGAUAUUGCUUUGGACAUCACCUUCCCCAAAGGAGCUGAAGGAGGUCUGGAUUUUGGGACUCUGAAGGUCAUGGAGGAAGUCAAGCAGCCCCUUCAACUGAAGAACCGUGGGAAAUACGAGAUCGUGUACAGCUUCUCUGUGGACUCCUUAGGGGUUUUGCCAACAAAUUUAAAUUCCAUGAUCUCAGUCCAACCCAAAAGGGGUUCGCUGACCUCAGCAGAUAAGCCCACAACCGUCCAGGUGUUCUUUCGUGCCAAAAAGGAAGUGAAAAUUGAGUACCAACCUGUUCUACGCUGCCAGAUUAUUGACCCCAGCCUCCCAGAAGGUGAAAUUAUUGCCAGCAUCCCCAUUAAGUUUUCUGUGAACGCAGUGUACUCCAAAUUCACCAUCAGCCCCUCCUCUAUCAUCAACUUCGGGGCUUUGAUCUGUGGGACCAGGAAAAGCACCACCUUCACCAUAGAAAACCAAGGCAUAACAGACUUCAAAUAUGCCCUCUACAGGCUGACAGGGGAGAGUCCGAUCCAUCAAAAGAAGAUAGCAAGCCACGUCAGACACACGAGAACCCGGGAGAGUGAAAGCUUCUUCAAGUCUGGAGCUACUAAAGCAGCCAAGUUCUCGGACACUGUCCAGAAAGACAUGAACAUAGCCAACCAGGCCCGCUUCUCCCAUGGCAUGUUCACUGUAUACCCAGGAUUUGGCUCUAUCCCUUCUGGAGGACAGCAGAUCAUCACCGUGGAGUGUGUGGCUGACCCUGUGGGGAGGUGUGAAGAGUUUCUGGCCAUUGAUAUCUCUGACCGAGACCCUAGAGAAAAUCCUGCCGGCAUUCCUUACACCCUCCUUGCUGAAGCAUGCCUGCCAGCCUUUGUGACUGACAACAGCGUCUUGAUAUUUGAGGAACACCAGAUCUGCACCAGCUCCAACCUGUACCACAUCCUCCAGACCAUACAGAGUGGCGGGUUGUAUGUGGAGGAUGAAAACAAGUUCAUCUUCUGCAAUGUGCUGGUGGGUUAUCAGGCCAAGGCUCGCUUCAAGAUCAGCAAUGUGGGAAAGAUCGCUUGCGACAUCAACAUCAUAGUCAAGCCCGUCUCCAACAAGGCAGCCGCCCGCAUCACUGACAUCUUCGAUGUGGAACCCAACAAGAUGUGUAUUGGGAGUCGCUCACAUGCCUUCGUCACAGUGCUGUUCACACCACAGACCAUGCAGACCUACCAGUGCAUCUUCGAGGCUACUCUGGAUGGCUUGCCCAGCAACCUGGCCAGGAGCCGAGGUCUGGUGUUUGAUAUCGUUGGCGAGGGGACCCUCCCUCGAGUGACUGUCAUCCGACCGACUCUAUAUAACCAACAUGGAAACCCCUUGCUCCUGUUUAAGAGGCUUCUGCUGGGCCAUUCAGAGAAACUGCCUCUCAUCCUUAAGAACAAUGGCACCAUCCCUGCCCAGCUCCAUGUGGACCUGCGAGACCAACUAGGAGUCUUCUCUCUCAAAGGAAGACCCACCACCUCCUACAUCUACAUCAUAGAGGAAAACAUACCGAAUGAAAAAGUUAAAAAAGCCCACACAGCCUCCCUGGUUGUUUCUCCUGGAGACACGGCUGAAUUCGAUGUCUUUUUCCACUCCAAGAAGAUUGGGAGAAUGACAGGCACCAUCCACCUGUCGGUGAUCAACAACCAGUAUGAGGAGACCAUGAUUCACCUGGUGGGAGAAAGCUACGAGGAUGACAUCACCUUGGACAACAUCCAUGGGCUGACGGGGUCCGCUAUCCUGGAGGGCCCGGAUAUGUCUGAGGUCAUAGAGAUCGCUGAGGAAAGUGCCAUGGAGGACUUGGUGGCAGCUGCCCUGUUGGAUCACAUCCAGUUCGGGUACUGCCACAUUGGGAGCAGCUACAACGUGAGCUUCACCAUCACCAACCACAGCCAAGGGAAUGUGGUUCGCUUCGAGUGGCCCCUUUUAGCUACGCUGUCUUUCUUCCCACAGGUAGGCCAUCUCCACCCUGGCUGCUCCAAGGACGUGGUGGUGACCCUGAAGUCAGAUGUGCCCAUCAGCCUGAAGAAGAUGACUGUCAAGUGCACGCUUUCCAAGAUCGUGUUUCAGCUCCCUGCAGACCAGGUCCCUGACUGGGAUGACCGCAUGCGCACAGUCAAGUGGGUGGAUGCGCCCCGAAACACACCAGGGAACUUGACCACAAAACGAAAAGUGAUAGAGACAGACCCUGAGCCAGCGCACUCAGUAGUAGAAGAAAACUACCGAGAGCUGCGGAUCCAGAUCAGUGCCAGCGUGGACUUUGCGUCCUAUCAGUGCCAUACGAAUGACGUGUUCUUUAAGGAAACACUGGUCUACCAGACCCGAGUGUUUGAGUUUGACCUCAUUAACACAGGACAUGUGCUGUUAGAAUUCAACUGGACCUCGGAAGAUACCUGCAAGGCAGUCAGCUUUGCCAUGCCAGAUAAUCAAGGCUCCAGUCAGAAAGAUCAGCUUAGUCAGGGCACGGGCAGCACCCUGGACAGCGCCUUGGACCACUGGCCAGAAGUCUCUCCGUCACCCUUCUCCGUGGAACCCUCCUCGGGCCUUGUGCCUGUUGGGAAGACUCAGAAGAUCAAAGUGAAGUUCUCCCCGAUGGACACUGGGGAGUUCGAGAGCACCCUGUACUGCCAAAUUCCCAACUUGCCAUCAGGAGAGCAAGGCCCUGUUCUGGUCACAAGAGGGCGAAGCGUCCUGCCAUUCUGCCAUUUUGACCUGAAGGAAUCAGACUAUAUCAGUGGGCAUCGGCGCAACCCAGAGCUCCGAGGACCAGGCUCUGGGCCUCUCGAUCCAAACACCCGAGUGAUCGAGUUCACUAGUGUGGGUAUAGGAGGAAAGAAUCUCCGGACCUUUACCAUCCUGAACCCGACCGAUAGCACCUACUCUUUCUGCUGGACCUCUGAAGAAGCAGAAAGCCUGCAGCACCCUCCAGCCUUUGUGUGCCUUACAGAAAAGGGUAUCAUUCAUCCUGAAAAGAAAGCAGAGAUUGUGUUCCAGUUCCUGCCUGCUCACCUGGAUAUCACAGAAGCAUUCUGGACUUUCUGUAUCCCAGAACACAAUAUCUCAGUCCCCUUCCUGCUGGUGGGCAAAACUACAGACCCCCUCAUCUCUCUUGACCAGUCACAUCUCAACUUCAGCUCUCUCCUCAUUGGCAGAGAAGCCCGAGAGACGGUGAAGAUUAUCAACAAGGAGGAGCAUGGGUUCAAUUUUGCAUUCCAGGAUAACUCCCGUUUCUCCGAAGGAUUCAACAACAGCCUGACCGUGUGUCCCAUGGAAGGCUGGAUCCCACCGCUGUCCAGUUUCCCAAUUGAAAUUUUCUUCACACCAAAGCAAGAAGGAGAUGUGAACUUUAAUCUGAUCUGCAAUGUAAAGAGGAAAGCCCACCCUCUGACACUCAAUGUUAAGGCCGAGGGCUACACUAUGAAUGCAGAGGUCAAGUGCAGGGACCGGACGGGCUCCACCUUCCUCCUGAUGUCCAACCAGGUCAACACCAUCAACUUCUACGAGGUAGAGUUAAAUGAAUGUGUUCAGUGUGAAUUCAACUUCAUCAACACUGGCAAGUUCAACUUCAGCUACCAGGCAGAGCUCUCUGGGCCUAAAGGCCUGUUGCAGUACUUGGACUUCACGCCUACCGACAGCAGCGUGGAUGUGGGGCAGUCAGAACCUGCCAACCUGUCUUUCCAACCAUAUCAGAAGUGUGUCUUGAAGGGCCUGGAGCUCAAAAUCAAGAUCAGCCAUGGCCCAACAUUCGUGUGCAGCAUCUUAGGCUGUGCUGUGAGCCCAGCUGUCCAUUUCUCCUUCACCAGCUACAACUUUGGGACUUGUUUCAUCUACCAAGCUGGGAUGCCCCCAUACAAGCAAACCCUCCUUGUCACCAACAAAGAAGAAACAUCUAUGAGCUUAGAUUGUUUAUACACCAACACCCCACAUGUCGAGGUGAACUUCAGUGUGGACGUGAUAAAGCCUGGGAAGACACUGGAGAUCCCAAUUACCUUCUACCCUCGGGAAGCUAUCAGCUACCGAGAGCUCAUCCCCUUUGAAAUCAAUGGGCUCUCUCAACAGACAGUGGAGAUCAAAGGCAAAGGCACAGAAAUGAAGAUCUUAGUUCUAGAUCCAGCCAACAGGAUCGUGAAGUUAGGAGCUGUUCUGCCAGGUCAGGUUGUGAAGAAAACUGUUUCCAUCAUAAACAACAGCCUUGCCCAGCUCACCUUUAACCAGUCCGUCCUGUUCUCCAUUCCAGAACUCCAGGAAGCCAAGGUCAUCACCCUGGAGCCCUUCCACAAUAUCACCCUGAAGCCCAAAGAAGUCUGCAAGCUGGAAAUUACCUUUGCCCCCAAGAAGCGUGUCCCUCCUUUCUCUGAGGAAGUGUUCAUGGAAUGGAUGGGACUUCUGCGUCCCCUCUUUCUCCUUAGUGGCUGCUGUCAGGCCCUGGAGAUUUCCCUGGACCAGGAGCAUCUUCCCUUUGGUCCUGUCGUGUAUCAGACGCAAUCUACACGGCGCAUCCUCAUGAUGAACACAGGCGAUGUGGGUGCAAGGUUUAAGUGGGAUGUGAAGAGAUUAAAGCCUCACUUCUCCAUCAGCCCUGAAGAAGGUUACAUCACCUCCGGCAUGGAGGUUGCUUUAGAAGUAACCUACCAUCCCACUGAGAUAGGAAAGGAAAGUCUCUAUAAAAACAUUCCCUGCUUCAUCCAGGGAGGAAAUCAUCUGUCCCUCACCCUGUCUGGAAUCUGCGUGGGACCACCUGCAAUCAAAGAGGUGGUGAAUUUCAACUGCCAAGUGCGCUCCAGGCACACCCAGACCAUCCUGCUCUCAAACCGUACCAACCAGACCUGGAAUCUGCACCCCAUCUUUGAGGGCGAGCACUGGGAGGGGCCCGAGUUCAUCACCUUGGAGGCCCAUCAGCAAAACAAGCCCUAUGAGAUCACCUACAAGCCCCGCACCAUGAAUCUGGAGAACCGCAAGCACCAGGGCACUCUCUUUUUCCCCCUCCCGGAUGGGACUGGCUGGCUGUAUGCCCUGCACGGGACUGCCGAGCUCCCCAAAGCUGUUGCCAACAUCUACCGUGAGGUUCCGUGUAAGACUCCCUAUGUUGAGCUCCUGCCAAUCAGCAACUGGCUGAACAAGCCCCAGAGAUUCCGGGUCAUUGUGGAAAUAUUGAAACCGGAGAGACCAGACCUAAGUGUCACUCUGAAGGGCCUUGAUUACAUCGACGUACUAUCUGGCUCCAAGAAAGACUACAAGCUGAACUUCUUUUCCCACAAGGAGGGGCUGUACACUGCAAAGGUGAUCUUCCGGAACGAGGUGACCAAUGAAUUCCUGUACUACACUGUGAGUUUCAGGGUCAUCCCUUCUGGCAUUAUAAAAACCAUCCAGAUGACAAGCUCAGUCCGCCAGAGUGCGUCAGCCUCCAUCAAGUUGGAGAAUCCCCUGCCCUAUUCCGUGACCUUCUCUACAGAGUGCAAGCUGAGUGACAUCAACCUACCUUCCCAGUUUGCUGUGCCUGCAAACUCUGAGGGAACAUUCUCGUUUGAAUUUCAGCCCCUGAAAGCUGGAGAAACUUUCGGGAGACUGACCCUGCACAACAGUGACUUGGGUUACUACCAGUAUGAGCUUGCUCUGAAGGCCUUGCCCGCACCUCCUGAGAAACCUGUCCACUUCCAGACUGUUCUCGGCAGCAGUCAAAGCAUUUUAGCAAAGUUCACCAAUUAUACCCGACAGAAGACAGAGUACUACUGCAGGACGGACUGCCCUGACUUCCACACGGAAAGAGUCAUUAACGCAGCCCCAGGAGCCCAGGGCGGCACUGAGGUCAGCGUGGAAGUCUUCUUUGAGCCCAGCCACCUGGGUGAGACCAAAGGCAUCCUGAGCCUGUCGUCACUCAUAGGUGGUGAAUAUAUCAUCCCACUCUUCGGAAUUGCCCUGCCUCCCAAGCCCCAAGGCCCCUUCCUCAUCAGAGCCGGAUACAACAUCGUCAUUCCCUUCAAGAAUGUCUUCUUGCAUGCGGCAAACUUCUCCUUCAUCGUGGAGAACCCAGCCUUCACCAUCCGGGCUGCGGACACCGUGCGGCCCAAGAAGAUCAACAAUAUCACAGUCUACUUUGAGGGGAACCCAUCAGGCAGUAAAACCCCUAUCACCACCAAGCUGAUUGUCACCUGCCCUCAGUGCGAAGGCACUGAAUCUGGAAUCAAAUGGGUUUAUUAUCUGAAAGGGAUCACCCCGUAAGUCAAAACUUUAUCAGCUAGUGCCAUCUUCUCAGGCCACGAGCCGUGUACUGUGCCGCCCUCGCAAAGACUAGAGAAGAAUGUGGGAAUUUCUCGAGGAUUUCCUUAUAUGUGUUCAGUUAUAUAGAAAGUUAUUUCUAUAUUAUGUUUUACAAAUGCAGAUAUGAAAUUUACGCUCCACAUUAACAUUAAUAGUGACACAUAAAGAUCUACAUCGGGGCGAAAUGAAUCAGUGGCAGGCUCUAUAGUUGUGUUUCUCACAGCUAAAUGCUCUGCCAUGGUUCCAGUUCGUAAGGAGGCACAGGUAUCCCGCUCAUGGUCUUCACCUGGCACUUACGAGUGUCCAGCGGAGGGGACUGCUGAUUCUCCUUCAGAUGGCAUCAGCCCCAGAUAUGACUGACUCUAUUUUGAUGUGACAUCAUUUCUGCUUUCUCUUAAAAGCUAAAGAAGUCAUCGUCUACAGAGUGAUGAACAGGUCACAUGAGGGCAACUCAGGGAUGCUGCCCCUCACUGUUUCUCUUGUGUUCUAUUCCAUCAGCCUUCAGAUCUCAUUUCUGUUCACGGCAGGAGGGAGCCCACCAGCGAGAGAGAGGAAGUAAAAAAGCAGAUGGUCUCUAAAGAACUAAGUCUCUAAAGAAGAAGAUGUCUGAAUGCUCCCAGGACCACGCCUGGGAGGAGCAUCUGGGAAGCUGCUAAAGACCCACAUUCUCAGAAUCUGUGGAAUACAGUCCAGCAAUCUGCUUUUCAAUACGACCAGUACCUGUUACAGGCUCGGAGGGGAGAGUCUAGAGGCUCUCUUUGGUUGGUUGGGGUUUGGUUUGUUUCUUUUAAGACUGGGUCUUACCAUGUCGCUUAAAUUGUCUUUGACCUCCAUUCCUCUUGCCUCAGCCUCGUGAGUACUAAGAUAACAGUUUGUAGUACCGCAUGACUUAAAUGGUGGUGUUGUGUGCGUGCGCAUGCCCACAUGUGCCGAAUUCAAGUAUGUGUGUGUGUGUGUGUGUGUGUGUGUGCAUAUGUGAGAGUGUGGGUAUGCAUGUGCCAUGGCCCUUGAAUGGGGGGGUCAGAGGAGAGCCUCAGGUGUCAGUCCUUGCCUAGAGGACUUGCCCCAGUCUCUCUCACUCAAUUCUGCUGAUGCCAGGCUAGCUGGCCCAUGAGCUUCCAGAGAUUUCCCCUGUGCCUGCCUCCCACCCCCCAGUAGAGGCACGCUGGGAUUGCAGACACGUGCACUACUGCCUCCAGUUUUUAGUUAGGUCCUUGUUUUCAAAUGUAGACUGUCAGGCUUGUGCAGCAAGUCCUUUGCCCACCAAGUCAUCUCCCAUGCCCUUAAAAGUGUUUUACCAACAGGAAAGGAGCUUCAGCUUUUUGCGCCUCCCCAAAACCCUCAGCCGGUACAUGCCAUACACAACUUAUGCCGAAUGAAGCCUUUCCUAUAAAGCUUGUGAACUCAAGCCUAUGGUUCAUGACCAAUUCACUUUAUAGCCAGUAAAGGCACAACCAAUGGGUCCAGCAGCUGAAGGCACCUGCUGCCACUCCUGACAACCUGAGUUCAAUCCCCAAGACCCACAUGGGAGGAGAGAAGUGACUUCUGAAAGUUGUCCUCUGACCUCCAUACAUAUUCCAAGACACACACACACAUACACACACACACACACACACAUAAUAAUAUCAUAAAAUAUUUUUUUGAGACAGGGUUUCUCUGUGUAACAGCCUGGCUGUCCUGGAACUUCCUCUGUAGUCCAGGCUGGCCUCAGACUCAUAAAGAUCUCCACCUGUCUCUUCUUCCCAAGUGCUGGGAUUAAAGGCAUCUGCCGCCACCACCACCACCGGCUAUUUUUGUUUGCUUGUUUGUUUUUCAAGAUAAAAUAAUUUAAAAGACACAAAUAAUAGAUUUAAAGGCAAAGAAUUAGAUGGCGGAUUCCUCCAGUGGUUGGUUAAGCAAAGACCACACUAGCUAGCAAUCUGAGAGGAUUGAAAAGUCCGCGAGCAGCUGCUAUGACCAACAGAUUAAAGAGGCUAGGUAACGUCGGCCGUUUCCCGGUUUUAGUUUAUAUCAGAAUCUCUGGGGAGGACCUGCAAAACCAGAAUGCUGGGCUGCUCCCCUGAAACUCCAGCUUUGAUUAGGGCACAACUUCAGCUGCAGCCUCUCAACUCAUUAUGAUAUGACCUUUCCACGCAUUGGUAUACGUGUUGCAGUUACGACAGAACCCUUCCAAAGUCUGCAAUGACAAGCACCCAAAAUGGGGCUGCAAGAUCACUGUGGUGAGCUCGCAGCAUAUGAAUUACCCAGGAGUCUACAAGAGUUGGAGUAGGGAGUGGGGGGGUCAGAGAAGAGGAAGGCAGGCAGAGAGCAAGAAUGGCCCCUAGUCUUCAUUCCCAGUGUCCCAGGGUGAAUGAGUGACCUUAAUUCUGCUGCAUCUCUAAGAUAUCAGGGAAGAUUCUUUCUAGAAACUUCUGACCUAAAGGUGGACAAAGCAUUCAUUUGGGCUUUAUGGAGAAGCUGGUUUCUUAGCAACCUGAUUCAGAAUGUAGUUUCGUGAGAAAAGAGCACCUGCUAGUUGGAAAAGAAAACUGCACAGCUUCGGUUAUUAAAGCCCUUAUCACAGUGUGAAUAGUGUGGCCCUUGGGAAAUUCAGUUCACCUUUCUGAAGGAGCCAACCCCAAACAUUAAAGAAACGGGUGACAUAUUCUACCAAACAUAGGUUCACCUGAUGUGAAUGCACACUGUAGAAAACAGACCAAAAUUAGUCCAUUACCAUGGCUUAAUUUUUUUUUCAUUCUUAUCAACCACCAUCGAACCCUGAAUACGUAAACUUUGCUCGGCAUUUCGGAAUGUCCUUGACAAGUACUUGAUGCAAGGCAAAAGGAGGAAACUACCAGACAACACGUUUUCUCAGGGUGUGAGUCUAUCUACACGUUGAGGUUCUCAUACUGGUGGGGUGCUCAAGGGGCUACUUCCUCCAUUCACUGGGCUAUGCUGGGAAAGCUUUUGCCAUAUGCGAGGACCCUAUGGGUAAUAAAACACACACAUGGAAAUUUGUUGGUCAAUUUCUCCAUGACUUCUUGAGCUUUAGGUUAGGCCCAGCGUUUGCUUACUGUGGAUACGUCAUACACGGCUACCAGCCUAGAAGCUUAAAACAACACAGGUUUAUUCUAUCUCGGUAUUUGCGGGCCGAGUGUCCACACGGUCUGAGCUGGAUUCUCAGUCCACAGAUCCACAAGGCUAAAUCAAGGGCCAGCCUUGUCUUCAUGUGAAGACUCAAGUAAGAAAAGCUAUGCCUCUGAGUGCCUCCUGUGUGCUGUCCAAGUCGUUUCCUGUGCCUUAAGGAUGGAAUCACACUUUCUUGGCAAUCGAUGACAGGGACUGCUCUCAGCAGCUGGAGACCACCGCCAGUACCACCAUGGACUGUUCAUAACAUGACCCCUGGAGCCAUCAGGAGAAUCUCCUCAUAGCAAAUUUCAGGCCACUUUGAGGACUCACCUGAUUAUCUCAGCUCCACCCACAAUAAUCCCCCCUCCCCUUUAAAUCA
Alexandromys fortis (reed vole) is the source of this 18920-nucleotide RNA transcript. It is a transcript of the gene named HYDIN axonemal central pair apparatus protein, with no coding region annotated. The record is from RefSeq and is a predicted model, not a curated record. The transcript is spliced from 87 exons. Lineage: Eukaryota; Metazoa; Chordata; Mammalia; Rodentia; Cricetidae.